ACUCCUACGGGAGGCAGCAGUGGGAAGUAUUGCAUCAAUGGCAGGCAAGCCAUGCAUGCAGCCAUGCCGCGUGUGUGAAGAAGGCCUUCGGGUUGUAAAGCACUUUCAGUAGGGAGGAAGGUAGUGUAGUUAACACCUGCAUUAUUUGACGUUACCUACAGAAGAAGCACCGGCUAACUCCGUGCCAGCAGCCGCGGUAAUACGGAGGGUGCGAGCGUUAAUCGGAAUUACUGGGCGUAAAGCGCAUGCAGGCGGCCUGUUAAGUCAGAUGUGAAAGCC
This 279-nucleotide ribosomal RNA is filed under the name uncultured bacterium. Its description in RNAcentral is "partial 16S ribosomal RNA". It matches the Rfam family "Bacterial small subunit ribosomal RNA", at positions 335 to 602 of the family's 1533-position model. The record is from RNAcentral.